RNAcentral lists this ribosomal RNA (1162 nucleotides) under Vreelandella nanhaiensis. RNAcentral's name for it is "bacterial SSU rRNA". It matches the Rfam family "Bacterial small subunit ribosomal RNA", at positions 61 to 1215 of the family's 1533-position model. The record is from RNAcentral. Lineage: Bacteria; Pseudomonadati; Pseudomonadota; Gammaproteobacteria; Oceanospirillales; Halomonadaceae.
GUCGAGCGGUAACAGGUCUAGCUUGCUAGACGCUGACGAGCGGCGGACGGGUGAGUAAUGCAUAGGAAUCUGCCCGAUAGUGGGGGAUAACCUGGGGAAACCCAGGCUAAUACCGCAUACGUCCUACGGGAGAAAGGGGGCUUCGGCUCCCGCUAUCGGAUGAGCCUAUGUCGGAUUAGCUAGUUGGUGGGGUAAUGGCCCACCAAGGCGACGAUCCGUAGCUGGUCUGAGAGGAUGAUCAGCCACAUCGGGACUGAGACACGGCCCGAACUCCUACGGGAGGCAGCAGUGGGGAAUAUUGGACAAUGGGGGCAACCCUGAUCCAGCCAUGCCGCGUGUGUGAAGAAGGCCUUAGGGUUGUAAAGCACUUUCAGCGAGGAAGAACGCCUGGCGGUUAAUACCCGCCAGGAAAGACAUCACUCGCAGAAGAAGCACCGGCUAACUCCGUGCCAGCAGCCGCGGUAAUACGGAGGGUGCAAGCGUUAAUCGGAAUUACUGGGCGUAAAGCGCGCGUAGGUGGCUUGAUAAGCCGGUUGUGAAAGCCCCGGGCUCAACCUGGGAACGGCAUCCGGAACUGUCAAGCUAGAGUACAGGAGAGGAAGGUAGAAUUCCCGGUGUAGCGGUGAAAUGCGUAGAGAUCGGGAGGAAUACCAGUGGCGAAGGCGGCCUUCUGGACUGAUACUGACACUGAGGUGCGAAAGCGUGGGUAGCAAACAGGAUUAGAUACCCUGGUAGUCCACGCCGUAAACGAUGUCGACCAGCCGUUGGGUGCCUAGCGCACUUUGUGGCGAAGUUAACGCGAUAAGUCGACCGCCUGGGGAGUACGGCCGCAAGGUUAAAACUCAAAUGAAUUGACGGGGGCCCGCACAAGCGGUGGAGCAUGUGGUUUAAUUCGAUGCAACGCGAAGAACCUUACCUACCCUUGACAUCCUGCGAACCCGGAAGAGAUUCCGGGGUGCCUUCGGGAACGCAGAGACAGGUGCUGCAUGGCUGUCGUCAGCUCGUGUUGUGAAAUGUUGGGUUAAGUCCCGUAACGAGCGCAACCCUUGUCCUUAUUUGCCAGCACGUAAUGGUGGGGAACUCUANAGGAGACUGCNCGGUGACAAACNCGGAGGAAGGUGGGGGACGACGUCAAGUCAUCAUGGCCCUUACGGGUAGGGCU